GACGAACGCUGGCGGCGUGCUUAACACAUGCAAGUCGAACGGAAAGGCCCUGCUUUUGUGGGGUGCUCGAGUGGCGAACGGGUGAGUAACACGUGAGUAACCUGCCCUUGACUUUGGGAUAACUUCAGGAAACGGGGGCUAAUACCGGAUAGGAGCUCCUGCUGCAGGGUGGGGGUUGGAAAGUCUCGGCGGGUGGGGAUGGACGCGCGGCUUAUCAGCUUGUUGGUGGGGUAGUGGCUUACCAAGGCUUUGACGGGUAGCCGGCCUGAGAGGGUGACCGGCCACCAUGGUCCUGAGGGACGGACCAGACUCCUACGGGGGGCAGCAGUGGGGAAUAUUGCCCAGUGGGCGGACGCCUGAUGCAGCAGCGCCGCGUGCGGGAUGACGGCCUUCGGGUUGUAAACCGCUUUCGCCUGUGACGAAGCGUGAGUGACGGUAAUGGGUAAAGAAGCACCGGCUAACUACGUG
RNAcentral lists this ribosomal RNA (468 nucleotides) under uncultured bacterium. Its description in RNAcentral is "partial 16S ribosomal RNA". It matches the Rfam family "Bacterial small subunit ribosomal RNA", at positions 28 to 507 of the family's 1533-position model. The record is from RNAcentral.